AUUGAACGCUGGCGGCAUGCUUUACACAUGCAAGUCGAACGGCAGCACUGGGGGCUUGCUCCUGGGUGGCGAGUGGCGCACGGGUGAGUAAUGUAUCGGAACGUCCCUGCACUUGGGGGUUAACUUGUCGAACUAGGGGCUAAUACCGCAUGAGCUCUGGGGAUGAAAGCGUUGGACCUUGGUGUCUCGUGUUACUUGAGCGCCCGUUCUAUGAUUUGGUUGUUGGUGGGGUAAAGUCCUACCAAGUCGGCGAUCUGUCGCUGGUCUGAGAGGACGAGCAGCCACACGGGAACUGAGACACGGCCCAGACGCCUACGGGAGGGAGCAGUCGGGAAUGUUGGGCAAUGGGCGGAAGCCUGAUCCAACAAUGCCGCGUGCAGGACGGAGACCUUCGGGUUGUGAACAGCUUUUGUGCAGAACGAAAAGUCUCUGGCUAAUAUCUAGAGAUCGUGACGGUACUGUAAGAAUAAGCACCGGCUAACUACGUG
Molecule: ribosomal RNA, 488 nt
Filed under: uncultured bacterium
Lineage: Bacteria
Description: partial 16S ribosomal RNA
Rfam family: Bacterial small subunit ribosomal RNA
Source: RNAcentral